This 301-nucleotide ribosomal RNA is filed under the name uncultured bacterium. RNAcentral describes it as "partial 16S ribosomal RNA". It matches the Rfam family "Bacterial small subunit ribosomal RNA", at positions 509 to 807 of the family's 1533-position model. The record is from RNAcentral.
CAGUCGCCGCGGUAAUACGAAGGGGGCUAGCGUUGCUCGGAAUGACUGGGCGUAAAGCGUGCGUAGGUGGUGGUUUAAGUCCGUUGUGAAAGCCCUGGGCUCAACCUGGGAAUUGCAGUGGAUACUGGGUCACUAGAGUGUGGUAGAGGAUAGUGGAAUUUCCGGUGUAGCAGUGAAAUGCGUAGAGAUCGGAAGGAACAUCUGUGGCGAAGGCGACUAUCUGGGCCAACACUGACACUGAGGCACGAAAGCGUGGGGAGCAAACAGGAUUAGAUACCCCAGUAGUCCCUGUCUCUUAUAC